UAAGGAAUAUUGGGCAAUGGACGCAAGUCUGACCCAGCCAUGCCGCGUGAAGGAUGACGGUCCUCUGGAUUGUAAACUUCUUUUAUCUGGGGCGAAAACCACCCUUUCUAGGGUGCUUGACAGUACCAGGUGAAUAAGCACCGGCUAACUCCGUGCCAGCAGCCGCGGUAAUACGGAGGGUGCAAGCGUUAUCCGGAUUCACUGGGUUUAAAGGGUGCGUAGGCGGGCAGGUAAGUCAGUGGUGAAAUCUUCGAGCUUAACUCGGAAACUGCCGUUGAUACUAUCUGUCUUGAAUUUAGUGGAGGUAAGCGGAAUAUGUCAUGUAGCGGUGAAAUGCUUAGAUAUGACAUAGAACACCAAUUGCGAAGGCAGCUUGCUACACUAGUAUUGACGCUGAGGCACGAAAGCGUGGGGAUCAAACAGG
This 424-nucleotide ribosomal RNA is filed under the name uncultured Chitinophagaceae bacterium. Its description in RNAcentral is "bacterial SSU rRNA". It matches the Rfam family "Bacterial small subunit ribosomal RNA", at positions 355 to 776 of the family's 1533-position model. Lineage: Bacteria; Pseudomonadati; Bacteroidota; Chitinophagia; Chitinophagales; Chitinophagaceae. The record is from RNAcentral.